Molecule: ribosomal RNA, 34 nt
Filed under: Thanatephorus cucumeris
Lineage: Eukaryota; Fungi; Basidiomycota; Agaricomycetes; Cantharellales; Ceratobasidiaceae
Description: partial 28S ribosomal RNA
Source: RNAcentral
CUGAUCUCAAAUCAGGAGGACUACCCGCUGAACU